AAGGAGUCUAACAUCUAUGCGAGUGUUCGGGUGUCAAACCCCUACGCGUAAUGAAAGUGAACGGAGGUGGGAGCUUCGGCGCACCAUCGACCGAUCCUGAUGUCCCCGGAUGGAUUUGAGUAAGAGCAUAGCUGUUGGGACCCGAAAGAUGGUGAACUAUGCCUGAAUAGGGUGAAGCCAGAGGAAACUCUGGUGGAGGCUCGCAGCGGUUCUGACGCGCAAAUCGAUCGUCAAAUUUGGGUAUAGGGGCGAAAGACUAAUCGAACCAUCUAGUAGCUGGUUCCUGC
This 287-nucleotide unclassified non-coding RNA is filed under the name uncultured fungus. RNAcentral's name for it is "partial contains 5.8S rRNA, ITS2 and 28S rRNA". It matches the Rfam family "Eukaryotic large subunit ribosomal RNA", at positions 668 to 961 of the family's 3401-position model. Lineage: Eukaryota; Fungi. The record is from RNAcentral.